This is a small nuclear RNA of Pyrus x bretschneideri (Chinese white pear), 98 nucleotides long. The record is from RefSeq and is a predicted model, not a curated record. Lineage: Eukaryota; Viridiplantae; Streptophyta; Magnoliopsida; Rosales; Rosaceae.
GAAAAAGCUUCAUUUAAUAAUUGGAACGAUACGGAGAUGAUUACCAUAUCCUUUGUGCAAGGAUGAUACGCAUAAAUUGAGAGAUGAUUCAAAAUUUA